ACAGUCACACAUUAGAUACCCGGGUAGUCCAGGGUGUAAACGCUGCGGGCUUGGUGUUGGGGGUCCUUAGUGGGCGCCCAGUGCCAGAGAGAAGUUGUUAAGCCUGCUACUUGGGGAGUACGUCCGCAAGGAUGAAACUUAAAGGAAUUGGCGGGGGAGCACCGCAACGGGAGGAGCGUGCGGUUUAAUUGGAUUCAACACCGUAAAACUCACCAGGGAAGACUGUUACAUGAAAGCCGAGAUGAAGACUCUGCUAGAUUUUCAG
RNAcentral lists this ribosomal RNA (265 nucleotides) under uncultured archaeon. Its description in RNAcentral is "partial 16S ribosomal RNA". It matches the Rfam family "Archaeal small subunit ribosomal RNA", at positions 719 to 982 of the family's 1478-position model. The record is from RNAcentral.